UACAGAGGUCUCAAGCGUUGUUCGGAUUCAUUGGGCGUAAAGGGUGUGUAGGUGGCGCGCUAAGUCGGGUGUGAAAUUUCGGAGCUUAACUCCGAAACUGCAUUCGAUACUGGCGUGCUUGAGGACUGGAGAGGAGACUGGAAUUCAUGGUGUAGCAGUGAAAUGCGUAGAGAUCAUGAGGAGGACCAGUGGCGAAGGCGGGUCUCUGGACAGUUCCUGACACUGAGACACGAAGGCCAGGGGAGCAAACGGG
RNAcentral lists this ribosomal RNA (253 nucleotides) under uncultured bacterium. Its description in RNAcentral is "partial 16S ribosomal RNA". It matches the Rfam family "Bacterial small subunit ribosomal RNA", at positions 524 to 776 of the family's 1533-position model. The record is from RNAcentral.